This 497-nucleotide ribosomal RNA is filed under the name uncultured bacterium. RNAcentral's name for it is "partial 16S ribosomal RNA". It matches the Rfam family "Bacterial small subunit ribosomal RNA", at positions 28 to 507 of the family's 1533-position model. The record is from RNAcentral.
GAUGAACGCUGGCGGCGUGCCUAACACAUGCAAGUCGAGCGACCAGACAAGAAGCUUGUUCUCUUGCCGUUGGCGGGGGGCGGGCGAGUGAGACGUGCAUCACCAUCUUCUUUUACUGGGGUGAUAACGGAGAACAACUGCUACUAAUGGCUCAUAUGUCCUACCGCUUGGAUCAAUAGAUCUUGAGAGCUUUCCUGUUUCUUUUAGCUGGUUCCGGGUCGCAUUAGCUAGUUGGUAAGGUAACGGCUUACCAAGGCGACGAUGCGUAGCUGAGCUGAGAGGGUGAUCAGCCACACUGGAACUGAGACACGGUCCAGACUCCUACGGGAGGCAGCAGUAGGGAAUCUUCGGCAAUGGGCGAAAGCCUGAUGCAGCAACACCGCGUGAGUGAAGAAGGCCUUCGGAUCGUAAAGCCCUGUUGUUAGGGAAGAAAAAAAGUAGGUGAAACUAUGCACGUUUUGACGGUACCCAAAGAGAAAGCCACGGCUAACUUCGUG